Molecule: small RNA, 559 nt
Filed under: Pan troglodytes (chimpanzee)
Lineage: Eukaryota; Metazoa; Chordata; Mammalia; Primates; Hominidae
Description: retained intron
Source: RNAcentral
CCAAAGUGCUGGGAAUACAGGUGUGAGCCACCACGUUUGCCUGGAGACAUCUAGUUUUGUUAGUGCUUGAAUCAAUCCAUUCCUCCUACAGGCCCGCCAAGCUGCCCCCUGUGUGCUAUUCUUUGAUGAGCUGGAUUCGAUUGCCAAGGCUCGUGGAGGUAACAUUGGAGAUGGUGGUGGGGCUGCUGACCGAGUCAUCAACCAGAUCCUGACAGAAAUGGAUGGCAUGUCCACAAAAAAAAAUGUGUUCAUCAUUGGCGCUACCAACCGGCCUGACAUCAUUGAUCCUGCCAUCCUCAGACCUGGCCGUCUUGAUCAGCUCAUCUACAUCCCACUUCCUGAUGAGAAGUCCCGUGUUGCCAUCCUCAAGGCUAACCUGCGCAAGUCCCCAGUUGCCAAGGAUGUGGACUUGGAGUUCCUGGCUAAAAUGACUAAUGGCUUCUCUGGAGCUGACCUGACAGAGAUUUGCCAGCGUGCUUGCAAGCUGGCCAUCCGUGAAUCCAUCGAGAGUGAGAUUAGGCGAGAACGAGAGAGGCAGACAAACCCAUCAGCCAUGGUG